RNAcentral lists this ribosomal RNA (613 nucleotides) under uncultured bacterium. RNAcentral describes it as "bacterial SSU rRNA". It matches the Rfam family "Bacterial small subunit ribosomal RNA", at positions 56 to 664 of the family's 1533-position model. The record is from RNAcentral.
UGCAAGUCGAGCGGCAGCGCGGGGCAACCUGGCGGCGAGCGGCGAACGGGUGAGUAAUAGAUAGGAACGUAUCCGGGAGUGGGGGAUAACUAGCCGAAAGGUUAGCUAAUACCGCAUAUUCUCUACGGAGGAAAGCGGGGGACCUGUAAGGGCCUCGCGCUCGCGGAGUGGCCUAUCUCCGAUUAGCUAGUUGGUGGGGUAAAGGCUUACCAAGGCGACGAUCGGUAGCUGGUCUGAGAGGAUGAUCAGCCACACUGGGACUGAGACACGGCCCAGACUCCUACGGGAGGCAGCAGUGGGGAAUUUUGGACAAUGGGGGCAACCCUGAUCCAGCCAUGCCGCGUGCGGGAAGAAGGCCUUCGGGUUGUAAACCGCUUUUAUUCGGGAAGAAGGAGUGCUGGUUAAUACCCGGCAUGACGGACGGUACUGGAUGAAUAAGCACCGGCUAACUACGUGCCAGCAGCCGCGGUAAUACGUAGGGUGCGAGCGUUAAUCGGAAUUACUGGGCGUAAAGCGUGCGUAGGCGGUUGGCAAAGUCAGCUGUGAAAGCCCCGGGCUCAACCUGGGAAUUGCGGUUGAAACUAGUCGACUAGAAUCUGGCAGAGGGGGGGUG